RNAcentral lists this ribosomal RNA (253 nucleotides) under uncultured prokaryote. Its description in RNAcentral is "partial 16S ribosomal RNA". It matches the Rfam family "Bacterial small subunit ribosomal RNA", at positions 524 to 776 of the family's 1533-position model. The record is from RNAcentral.
UACGUAGGGGGCGAACGUUGUCCGGAAUUACUGGGCGUAAAGGGAGCGUAGGCGGUCGAUUAAGUUGGAUGUGAAAUACCCGGGCUUAACUUGGGGGGUGCAUCCAAUACUGGUUGACUAGAGUACAGGAGAGGAAAGCGGAAUUCCUAGUGUAGCGGUGAAAUGCAUAGAUAUUAGGAGGAACAUCGGUGGCGAAGGCGGCUUUCUGGACUGACACUGACGCUGAGGCUCGAAAGCGUGGGGAGCAAACAGG